RNAcentral lists this ribosomal RNA (1327 nucleotides) under uncultured Lactococcus sp. RNAcentral describes it as "bacterial SSU rRNA". It matches the Rfam family "Bacterial small subunit ribosomal RNA", at positions 106 to 1421 of the family's 1533-position model. The record is from RNAcentral. Lineage: Bacteria; Bacillati; Bacillota; Bacilli; Lactobacillales; Streptococcaceae.
CUGAGUAACGCGUGGGGAAUCUGCCUUUGAGCGGGGGACAACAUUUGGAAACGAAUGCUAAUACCGCAUAAAAACUUUAAACACAAGUUUUAAGUUUGAAAGAUGCAAUUGCAUCACUCAAAGAUGAUCCCGCGUUGUAUUAGCUAGUUGGUGAGGUAAAGGCUCACCAAGGCGAUGAUACAUAGCCGACCUGAGAGGGUGAUCGGCCACAUUGGGACUGAGACACGGCCCAAACUCCUACGGGAGGCAGCAGUAGGGAAUCUUCGGCAAUGGACGAAAGUCUGACCGAGCAACGCCGCGUGAGUGAAGAAGGUUUUCGGAUCGUAAAACUCUGUUGGUAGAGAAGAACGUUGGUGAGAGUGGAAAGCUCAUCAAGUGACGGUAACUACCCAGAAAGGGACGGCUAACUACGUGCCAGCAGCCGCGGUAAUACGUAGGUCCCGAGCGUUGUCCGGAUUUAUUGGGCGUAAAGCGAGCGCAGGUGGUUUAUUAAGUCUGGUGUAAAAGGCAGUGGCUCAACCAUUUGUAUGCAUUGGAAAACUGGUAGACUUGAGUGCAGGAGAGGAGAGUGGAAUUCCAUGUGUAGCGGUGAAAUGCGUAGAUAUAUGGAGGAACACCGGUGACGAAAGCGGCUCUCUGGCCUGUAACUGACACUGAGGCUCGAAAGCGUGGGGAGCAAACAGGAUUAGAUACCCUGGUAGUCCACGCCGUAAACGAUGAGUGCUAGAUGUAGGGAGCUAUAAGUUCUCUGUAUCGCAGCUAACGCAAUAAGCACUCCGCCUGGGGAGUACGACCGCAAGGUUGAAACUCAAAGGAAUUGACGGGGGCCCGCACAAGCGGUGGAGCGUGUGGUUUAAUUCGAAGCAACGCGAAGAACCUUACCAGGUCUUGACAUACUCGUGCUAUUCCUAGAGAUAGGAAGUUCCUUCGGGACACGGGAUACAGGUGGUGCAUGGUUGUCGUCAGCUCGUGUCGUGAGAUGUUGGGUUAAGUCCCGCAACGAGCGCAACCCCUAUUGUUAGUUGCCAUCAUUAAGUUGGGCACUCUAACGAGACUGCCGGUGAUAAGCCGGAGGAAGGUGGGGAUGACGUCAAAUCAUCAUGCCCCUUAUGACCUGGGCUACACACGUGCUACAAUGGAUGGUACAACGAGUCGCGAGACAGUGAUGUUUAGCUAAUCUCUUAAAACCAUUCUCAGUUCGGAUUGUAGGCUGCAACUCGCCUACAUGAAGUCGGAAUCGCUAGUAAUCGCGGAUCAGCACGCCGCGGUGAAUACGUUCCCGGGCCUUGUACACACCGCCCGUCACACCACGGGAGUUGGGAGUACC